CAGCAGCCACGGUAAUACGUAGGGAGCAAGCGUUGUUCGGAUUUACUGGGCGUAAAGGGCGCGUAGGCGGCGCGGUAAGUCACUUGUGAAAUCUCUGAGCUUAACUCAGAACGGCCAAGUGAUACUGCUGUGCUAGAGUGCGGAAGAGGCAACCGGAAUUCUUGGUGUAGCGGUGAAAUGCGUAGAUAUCAAGAGGAACACCUGAGGCGAAGGCGGGUUGCUGGGCCGACACUGACGCUGAUGCGCGAAAGCCAGGGGAGCAAACAGGAUUAGAUACCCCGGUAGUCCCUGUCUCUUAUAC
RNAcentral lists this ribosomal RNA (301 nucleotides) under uncultured bacterium. RNAcentral's name for it is "partial 16S ribosomal RNA". It matches the Rfam family "Bacterial small subunit ribosomal RNA", at positions 509 to 807 of the family's 1533-position model. The record is from RNAcentral.